This 30-nucleotide non-coding RNA is filed under the name Rattus norvegicus (Norway rat). The record is from RNAcentral. Lineage: Eukaryota; Metazoa; Chordata; Mammalia; Rodentia; Muridae.
AACCCCAAUAAAUGAUGGUGGCAUCCGUUA